GAGUCUCCGAGCGUGGGCCGUGCCAAGAGCGCCAUUUAUGGAUGUUUCAGCAUGCUGCAUGCGAGAACAAGAUAUGUGGCCGUCUACCGAAGAGAUCCAGUGUGUUCAGCGUGGUGGAGUCGGUUGAAAUCACAGUUAAAGAAGGUUACAACUACGUAAAAACAGAGCCACUGCAGGUGCAGGCUGGUGACGUGUUGGGAUACCGUGUGAGCCACGUCACACUGGCGACAAACCCACUGACAGAUGACGCCGACCCGCUGUGCUCGGACUGGGGCUCGUCCAGUGACCGGGCUGACCCUCUGCACACUGCCGGCCCCAUGAGAAGCCG
This is a long non-coding RNA of Pollicipes pollicipes, 328 nucleotides long. RefSeq lists it as uncharacterized. The record is from RefSeq and is a predicted model, not a curated record. NCBI's taxonomy places the organism in Eukaryota, Metazoa, Arthropoda, Thecostraca, Pollicipedomorpha, Pollicipedidae. The transcript has 3 exons.